This 491-nucleotide ribosomal RNA is filed under the name uncultured bacterium. Its description in RNAcentral is "partial 16S ribosomal RNA". It matches the Rfam family "Bacterial small subunit ribosomal RNA", at positions 29 to 507 of the family's 1533-position model. The record is from RNAcentral.
AGUGAACGCUGGCGGUAGGCCUAACACAUGCAAGUCGAACGGCAGCACAGUAAGAGCUUGCUCUUACGGGUGGCGAGUGGCGGACGGGUGAGGAAUACAUCGGAAUCUACUUUUUCGUGGGGGAUAACGUAGGGAAACUUACGCUAAUACCGCAUACGACCUACGGGUGAAAGCAGGGGAUCUUCGGACCUUGCGCGAUUGAAUGAGCCGAUGUCGGAUUAGCUAGUUGGCGGGGUAAAGGCCCACCAAGGCGACGAUCCGUAGCUGGUCUGAGAGGAUGAUAAGCCACACUGGAACUGAGAAACGGUCCAGACUCCUACGGAAGGCAGCAGUGGGGAAUAUUGGACAAGGGGCGAAAGCCUGAUCAGCCAUACCGCGUGGGUGAAGAAGGCCUUCGGGUUGUAAAGCCCUUUUGUUGGGAAAGAAAAGCAGCAGGUUAAUACCCCGCUGUUCUGACGGUACCCAAAGAAUAAGCACCGGCUAACUUCGUG